GACACCUAUUCCUGAUGGGCCACAGACUCCAGCCUCCCAAUGAGGCAGGUUUCCUCAGCCUCCUGCUCCUUGUUGUGUCACCGUCCGCUGAUGCCCUUCGUGACUUCUGUGAGGUCAACCCCUUCCCAUCUGGGGACACUUCUCCUUCCACCUGUCCCUGGACCUGAGCCAGCUGUGUGACCGGCCUCUUCCCACCUGGGGUCAGAGGGCCACCUGAACUGCUGCGCAACAGGCUUUAAAAACGGGUCCUGACCAGCCAACGGUGCUCGCCUGUUGAGACAGCCACAAAGGCGCGUCCUUUUCUCAGUCCGGCAAGCUACGCCGCUCCUCUCUCUGCCAGACGACGUAAGAACGACUAGUACCUCUCCAUCGAGGAACGCCGGCCCCCUGCAUCAGGACCGGACCAGCCCAGCUGCCAGACCCCAGAGGACGGCACCACCGGGAUCCCCAUUAAGCCUGUACCUGCAGCAUCAGGAACUUGUGCCUGCCCUUGGUCCUGCUUGUGUAGAGCAGCCUCUUUGCUAGCAACUACUUGAAUGUCCCACACCUGCACGGUUAGUUUAUCUCAAGGGAUGCCUUAGAGAUAAACACCCCUGAUCCUUUCCUGGGAUCUACUUGGGACGCCUGGGUUUCGCUGUGAAGGUGAAGGGCAGCCGGUGGCCGGCUGCAGAUCCCGGCCCAGGAAGGUGCGCAGCCCCCGCCGGGACACGGGGUUUUCGCUGAGCGCCAUUCUGGCUAUUGACAGCGCCUGCAGGGGUCUCCCUGGGACAGCCAAGUCUCCUGUCGCUGAGCCGAGGCACCUCCUGCUCCAGGCAGAACCUGGAAAAUAUCCAGCGAGGGUGGCCUGGACGGAGGAGGAGGGAAUCUGGCAGACUUAACCUCUCAGUGCCGUCAGGAAGUAGCUGGUUUCAGCAUCUUCUGUCCCCAUAACGACGAUGCCAACUUCCCGCCAGACACCAGAAGGUAAACACACUGCCAAGGACCUUCCUAGGGAGUGGUUGGCCCAUGGCAACCACAAGGCUGCACCUUAAAAGCAGUCCUCGCUGGCCGCUGCUAUUUGUGGGAUACUGCCUAUGCGAUAAGGGCUGUGGGUUACCAGAGGCCCCGAAAAUGUGAAGACAACUUUCUGGCUUUGUGAGGCAAGAGUUGGUGUACCGCUUCACUCCUUAUUUGGCCACCUUGUAACAGUAACAGUUGAGGGGGUGGAAGGAAGAGGCAGGAGAAAGGAGGAGAAAGGGUAACAUCUCAUGUUUGUGGAUUGGAAAACUUAAUACUCUUACAAUGGCAGUAUUCCCCAAAAUUGAUCUACAGAUUCAACACAACUCCUAUCAAAGUUUCAACUGAAUGCUCUCCAAAUUAGACAAGUUUAUCAUAAAAUUUGUAUGGAAAUUUAAGAAACUGAGAGUAGCCAAAGCAAUAUUUUAAAAGAAUAACACCACCAAGCCGGUGUGGUUCAGUGGUUGAGCAUCAACCUAUGAACCAGGAG
Myotis brandtii (Brandt's bat) is the source of this 1486-nucleotide long non-coding RNA. RefSeq lists it as uncharacterized. The record is from RefSeq and is a predicted model, not a curated record. NCBI's taxonomy places the organism in Eukaryota, Metazoa, Chordata, Mammalia, Chiroptera, Vespertilionidae. The transcript has 4 exons.